UGCUUUGGAGAGAGUAGGGCUGGCCA
This 26-nucleotide non-coding RNA is filed under the name Mus musculus (house mouse). Lineage: Eukaryota; Metazoa; Chordata; Mammalia; Rodentia; Muridae. The record is from RNAcentral.